This 725-nucleotide long non-coding RNA is filed under the name Mus musculus (house mouse). RNAcentral's name for it is "long non-coding RNA chr10:114952016-114952741". The record is from RNAcentral. Lineage: Eukaryota; Metazoa; Chordata; Mammalia; Rodentia; Muridae.
GGAGGGGGAAAACCGGUGUGAUUCUGUUUCAAUUAAAAUAUAUUUUUUAAAAACUUAAAAAACAAAACGCAUAAGGAGCUGUUUCCUUAGUACAAACCCACAGAGCAGUGCACUGGGUGGGAAGACUCUUGGUGCUUUAUCAACUUCAGGUGCCCGUACCCAGAUGCCCCCAGCCUCAGAAAGGCUCUGUGCUGCCAUCUUCGGGAAUGGAAUCUCUCUCUGAACCAUCUCAGGUCCUCCUUGGCUGGUAUCCAAUGGAGGAAAACUCAAUAAUACUAGUGAUAACAUUCACCCCAAAUCAGCCUUAAGAGGUCUGGCUUCCCCCAAAUGCCCCCCUAAUCUCUACCUGAAUAAUGGCUCUGGUCCCAGAACUGCUGUUAUCAAUCUCCCUCCCAGCUGUGGUUCACCAUUUUUGCCCCAGAACGAUGAAACUUGUAGUAACAAGAGCUCAACAAAGAAUCACGUUAAAACAUCUGUUUUCUUUACAAGAUCCACAUAAGUAAAUUCCUCACAGUUAUGGUCUUCAUGUGUGUCAUAUUAAUGACCCCCUAAAAUGAAGAAUGGAGAGAGAGACUGAUCUUGUUCAACCCCUUUUAAAUAUAGAAAAUUGGAGCUAGGGACUCUGUAACAGUGGGAGAAAAUCCACCAAGCUAAAUGUCACCCCUUAUCUAAAUAUACAUCUGCACAUCUGUAAGAAAAUUUUCCUUCGCACAGACAUCCCCUGA